Molecule: ribosomal RNA, 119 nt
Filed under: Oreochromis niloticus (Nile tilapia)
Lineage: Eukaryota; Metazoa; Chordata; Actinopteri; Cichliformes; Cichlidae
Source: RNAcentral
GCUUACGGCCAUACCACCCUGAACGCGCCCGAUCUCGUCUGAUCUCGGAAGCCAAGCAGAGUCGGGCCUGGUCAGUACUUGGACGGGAGACCGCCUGGGAAUACCGGGUGCUGUAAGCU